AUUGAACGCUGGCGGCAGGCUUAACACAUGCAAGUCGAACGGAAACAGGGCGCAUGGUCCUGACUAGUGGCGCACGGGGGUGUAAUGCACCUGAACGUCCGCCUGCGUGUGGGAUAUCUAGUCCAAAGAGGAGCUAAUACCGCACACGCUCCAUGGAUGAAAGCGGGGGACCUCAAGGGACCGCGCGAUUGGAGCUGCCGAUGUCGGAUUAGCUAGUUGGUGGGGUAAAGGCUCACCAAGCCAACGAUCUGUAGCUGGUCUGAGAGGAUGAGCAGCCACACUGGAACUGAGACACGGUCCAGACUCCUACGGGAGGCAGCAGUGGGGAAUAUUGGACAAUGGGCGCAAGCCUGAUCCAGCAAUGCCGCGUGCGUGAAGAAGGUCUUCGGAUUGUAAAGUGCUUUUGGUCGGGAGGAAACGGAGCUAGUUAAUACCUGGGGGUAUUGACGGUACCAAAAGAAUAAGCACCGGCUAACUACGUG
Molecule: ribosomal RNA, 482 nt
Filed under: uncultured bacterium
Lineage: Bacteria
Description: partial 16S ribosomal RNA
Rfam family: Bacterial small subunit ribosomal RNA
Source: RNAcentral